This is a non-coding RNA of Zootermopsis nevadensis, 758 nucleotides long. NCBI's taxonomy places the organism in Eukaryota, Metazoa, Arthropoda, Insecta, Blattodea, Termopsidae. The record is from RefSeq and is a predicted model, not a curated record.
GUUGGCAAUCGAGCGAGACAGUUUCUUCGUAAUGACGUUUUGCUCAGAGCAGGGUGGAAAUAGAAUUGCUUACAUCGGGUUUCGAAACCUGAGUCCUGAUGAAGUGACAUUGGAAAAAGCGUUCAAAUCCUUCAACGAAACCGGCCUAGAUGCCAGUCAGCUUGUGAAAUGGAGUGCCGACAAUUGUUACUAGUAACUGUGGGAGCGCACGAACACAAUGGCACAUUCUUUUCUGGUGUAGGGUGUAAGGGGUAACAUCUAGUGUUGAAAGUAUUGUUCAAAAGGCAGAUUUUUACAGAUAUGGAUCGUUUGUAUAAAUAUAGGUUUCUGAGUCUAACUCAACAUAUAAACUGAGGCCAGAGGGGCUUGACUAAUUAUGCCAAGCCAUGCAUAUCAACACAAAUAUCAUUUUACACCAUGAAAAGUUUCAUUUAACGUUCCAUUGCUAAUGAGUAUCCCAUUUUUGAAAUACGGCACCAUGUAGUGUGGACUGUGUCACUGAUGCUUCGAAUGUCUUUACUGUCUCCAUCUUCAAGGUAAAGUGGAUAACAAAUGGCUCGUGGUGAUACUUGUAUAGCAUGGCACACGUAUAUUUCUUCACUACCCAUGGUGUUAAAUUUCUAAUUUUGUUAUACAUAAAAUCGAUAGGAGCCGCUCACAAUGUCAUGUCCAAAAAUUUGUUAAUUUUAUAAUUAUACUCAUGGUAAUUGUUAAAAGGCAAUAUUCUUGACUCCUCUGAUAUGAAGAAUAAACAAAUA